Molecule: ribosomal RNA, 700 nt
Filed under: uncultured bacterium
Lineage: Bacteria
Description: bacterial SSU rRNA
Rfam family: Bacterial small subunit ribosomal RNA
Source: RNAcentral
AGCGGCGGACGGGUGAGUAACACGUGAGAAUUUGCCCUUUAGUGAGGAAUACCCUCGAGAAAUCGGGGUUAAUACUGCAUAACUCUCUUCGGAGAAAAAGGUGGCCUCUUGCUGCCGCUAAAGGAUAAGCUUGCGGACUAUUAGCUUGUUGGUGGGGUAAAGGCCUACCAAGGCUUUGAUGGAUAGCCGGCCUGAGAGGGUGAUCGGCCACACUGGAACUUAGACACGGUCCAGACUCCUACGGGAGGCAGCAGUGGGGAAUAUUGCGCAAUGGGCGAAAGCCUGACGCAGCGACGCCGCGUGAAGGAUGAAGGUCUUCGGAUUGUAAACUUCUGUUAAGUGGGAAGAAAGAACGCUCUUUAAUAGAGAGCGGAGAUGACGGUACCAUUAGAGAAAGCACCGGCUAACUUCGUGCCAGCAGCCGCGGUAAUACGAGGGGUGCUAGCGUUAUUCGGAAUUAUUGGGCGUAAAGGGUGCGCAGACGGCGCGCUAAGUCUGCUGUUUAAUUCUCCGGCCUAACCGGAGGUCGGCGGUGGAUACUGGCAUGCUAGAGGGUGGAAGAGAGAAGUGGAAUUCUCGGAGUAGCGGUAAAAUGCGUAGAUCUCGAGAGGAACACCGAUGGCGAAGGCAGCUUCUUGGUCCAUUCCUGACGUUCAUGCACGAAAGCGUGGGGAGCAAACAGGAUUAGAUACCCUGGUAG